RNAcentral lists this unclassified non-coding RNA (221 nucleotides) under uncultured Tomentella. Its description in RNAcentral is "sequence contains ITS2". The record is from RNAcentral. Lineage: Eukaryota; Fungi; Basidiomycota; Agaricomycetes; Thelephorales; Thelephoraceae.
ACACCUCAACUCCUCAUGGUUUGCCAUGAUGGGCUUGGACUUUGGGGGCUUGCUGGCCACUAUGGUCAGCUCCUCUCAAAUGAAUCAGCUUGCCAGUGUUUGGUGGCGUCACAGGUGUGAUAACUAUCUACGCUUGUGGUCUCCCCACCAGGUAACCUUCAGCGAUGGGGGUUCACUGGGGCUCAUAAACGUCUCUCCUCUGUGAGAGACAGCUUUUGAAC